Molecule: long non-coding RNA, 327 nt
Organism: Oreochromis niloticus (Nile tilapia)
Lineage: Eukaryota; Metazoa; Chordata; Actinopteri; Cichliformes; Cichlidae
Exons: 4
Source: RefSeq, a predicted model, not a curated record
GGAUAGACCCACCUCCUUAUGUCCCCCAGGUACCAAGCAGACAGCACCAGCCAGCUUGUCCUUGGAAACUGAGAAUAGACCCACCUCCUCAUGUCCUCCAGGCAACAAGAUUUCAGACAAUCGUCCACCAGCAAAACGAGUCUGGGCAACUGAUGAUUUCCACACGGCAUCAAAUUCUCCACCUAAAAAGCCUUUCCACAACAUAAAUGAACAACUACUGACAGAGGAGCUACAGAGAAACGCAGUUCAGAACUUCUGGUGUGUCAGUGCAACUCAUUGUCAAAGUGAUGAAAGGUACACAGAAUUCUCUCGAAAUCAUCAGUGCAC